Toxorhynchites rutilus septentrionalis is the source of this 2833-nucleotide long non-coding RNA. RefSeq lists it as uncharacterized. The transcript has 4 exons. The record is from RefSeq and is a predicted model, not a curated record. Lineage: Eukaryota; Metazoa; Arthropoda; Insecta; Diptera; Culicidae.
AUUGUAGAGGAAUAUCAAUAACUUUUUAGAAAUUGUAAUGUAACAGUUUGCGAACUUUAUAUGCCUUGUGCUCUGGGUUCGUCUUGGUAAAACUUGGAUCCUCGAUUCCAUCCCAUUUUACUGACACUUUGCUACAUAUCUUACUUCUGGAUGUUCAAGUAAACAUUCCGAUCCAAUACCAUUCUGAAUCAUAUUUCGGACAACAUCAUAUUUCGGACACUAAUAAUAAUGAUUUUUGGACCACUUUUUUUCUAAUAUCUUGAUAUGCUCAAUGCACUGAUGAUAUAACUAUCAAAUUAAUAUCACAAUUGCUUCUUUAGAGUAAUCCCUUGGUUUCACUAUCAUUUCACAUGAGAACUACAUUUGAAUUAUAACAUAAUUGGCAGAAAUCUUACAACACUACUCAUUAUCGUUUGUAUUUGAUGUUUCCUUAGCGUGUGCACGUAGAAUUUAAACGUUUAUAAAUAUUUAAAUUUCUCCCGUGUUUUAUCAGUUCUCAUAAUCGUUAACAGUUUACUGUGAUUGCUUGGUAACUGUUUCGCAUUUGACUAUAAAAUAUAAUCAAGUGUAAUGUAAUUUUCGUCCAAAAAAUCAUAUGCCAAAGCAUCAUAUGCCUUAAGCGUCCGAAAUAUGAUUCAUAACGGUACAUUAAUUCGGGACAUACAUCAGUUCCAGAAUCAGAGUGCACCCGUGGCCGAGUGGUUAGCGUCUCACAUUAUCAUGCCGGGUGUUCGGGUUAGAUUCCCGUUCUGGCCGGAGGAUUUUUCGUCAGAGAAAUUUCCUUCGACUUGCACUGUGGUCACGCGUAUUCUAGAGCUUGCCCCUCGGAAUACAUUGAAGGCGUGUUAUUUGGCUUAAGAAAUCUCAACUAAGUAUUAAUAAAUGACGCUAGUUAAUGCAUUCGUUGAGACGGCAAAAGUUCCACAGAGAACGUUAACGCCAUUCAAGAAGAAGAAGAUCAGUUCCUGCCAAAAUGUCCGUUGGGCCCUUAUGAUUUGAACGCUAGCAUUAAUUGAAGAUGUGGUAGUUCGUUCAUUUUUAUUCAUCGAAUUAUUUUUGCCUUUAAUAAUAAUAUUUUCUUUGUGUAGUGGAAUGUGUAAUACGCACCCCCUAAGCGAGAAUGGAUUUAUCUUGACCGUGCUCUCAAAAUUUAAGGUAACAACUCCGUCAGUACGUAGAUUAGUUAACCCUCAGUCAUCUGUACUCGUUCUGUAUUUUAGAUACUGAAUAACAAAAGUGCUACGAAUUUUAUUUUGUAAGGCGUCCAAAUUCUAAAUUUCCAAUCAUACAGUGUUAAAUGGCCCAGCAGAAGUAUAAUAUGCUCAUGAGUUGUUUCUCUCAGAGAAACAGCUUGUAUGAAUGAGAGAUUCCAUCAAUCUAUUUCCUUCAUGCCCACCAGCGAAGAGAAGAAACCGUUCCUCCGGUGAGCUUGUUCUCCUAGUAUUUGUGCAUUAAUUCUCCAGUCCGCGCUCUUGUUUUCGUGCAUUCUCUGAGCACAUAAUAUAGAUGCCAGAUGUGAAGACAUGUUUUCGUUGUCAAGACAUUUAAUUUUGUGAAAACCAAGAUGAAUAGAAGUAUUACUACGGUGAGGCCGUUUCUUCAAUAAGUUAGCGAGGGGAGUGCUCAAUUAUAAUGUUACGCGAAGCCGUGUAGCCGAUGAUGCUUUAAAAUCUUCUUUUGUGUUCACGGUUGGAAUUGGCUUUACGGUUAAAACACUACUCCUGCAUCCAACACUUAAUUUGUAGACUCAACAGGACACUGUUGGACAGCAAACGAUGUCGUAGAAUUACAACUGCAUAAUUCGUAUGUAUGGCAUUACGAACGAGGAAAGCUUUUACUCUAUUCAGAAUUGGAUAACGCAGAUAAAGAGCUACUCAUAGGAUAAUUCUCCACUCGUUCUGGUGGAUUGUUAAGUACACCAAUGUGCCAUAUAUGAGAAGUGAAUGUGGUAUGAAAUACGAGCGUGAAGCAUUUCUUAAACGUGGCAAACAGUUAGAGAACGUAUACGUGGAGACUGGUCGUAUAAUUUGCGACAAAAUGUUCGAAGACUUAGAUUCAGAUCUCGCGUUGAUAGCGAGUGAACCAAUGGAGCAGAGACCAACAUAUCAACCGCAAGGACCACUAGACGCUAAUUGCAAUUGCUGAGUAAAUAGAGGAUAGAGGAAUCGAAUAAGCAAUGAAAUUGGAUUGGAAAAAUGCUUCAUAUGAUAAAAUAAUAAUUAUUAUCAUUAUUUUUUGCUAAAAUUUAGUCAUUUCGAGUUGUAGAUAAUUUAAAACAUUUGUCAUAAUCGGAAACUUCAGGAAUAUGCUUCCAUUUAUUUUGCCUCGAAUGUACUUGUUUAAAAUCACCAAUACUAGUUUUCCUGUUGGUAUUCAGCACUCUACCAAUUUAAAUACAAAAAAAAUUUUAUUAGUGGAAUUAAAUUUACAUUUCAAGGAUGAAUACAGCAAUAAAAAGUUCGAUUGAAACGCUGCUUUGGUCCAAUAAAUUUUCUUCCUUUGUCUAUUCCUUUUAUCUUUCGCAUUUGACGUGGAAAUCGAUGAUCCAAUCUGUACGAGAAUGUAAUUUAUAUAUCAUUCCAGCUAACAAUGUAAACUACACGAUUAGAUAUAAUAAUAAUUAUAUAAUAUAAUUAUAUGGUUUGAAUACAAUUCCAACCGUUUGUAUAGACGAAAAAAAAAGUUUUGCGAAUAGAAAAAUUGUGCCACGGGGUAAUGAAAAACAUUAUUGUAUAUUGGUGAACAAAACCUCUUGAAGAUACGUCGUUCAUACUUAGAUAUGUCAGACUAGCGUAGACAAUAAAUGAAGUAAGGAUUGAAAAAGCCGUGGAAU